This 511-nucleotide unclassified non-coding RNA is filed under the name Athalia rosae (coleseed sawfly). RNAcentral describes it as "misc RNA ENSAEAG00005011472.1". Lineage: Eukaryota; Metazoa; Arthropoda; Insecta; Hymenoptera; Athaliidae. The record is from RNAcentral.
CGGCAUUCUUUGGUAUGGCAUCACCAAGGAGCUUAUAGCUCACAGCGGCAUAAUGCAAGGCAGGUAGAUCAGAGAGCUGGAAACCAGGUUCUACUACUUUUUUCAAACGAGUUUUGUCAGCCACCGAUAAAUAAGAACUCGUCGAAGAAGAAAAUGGAGUUGCACCCAGAGCUACGCAUAGAAGCGCAGAGGCAAAUAGCGGCCAAAUUGCUGUUGAGAAUAAGCGGAGUCCACGUGUCUUGGAAAAAUUGGUCCUAACUAGAAGCGUGGAGAUGCGUUUGUACGAUUCGUCCGUUGUUCGUACUCGAAAAACCUCUUGAAAGAAGAAAAUCUAAUACGUAGGACCGACCGCGGUAAUUAUUAUUCGAAUGUUGAAAGUCGUUUGAUAGAAAACGACCGGCGUUUUUGGAAUACAAUGGAGGGUGCAAAAUGGUCCAAAUAACCCGAGGAAUGUCGAGUACCGAGGGUAUUUUGAUCCAGUUAAUUGCAGGUUUUCUUGAGUUGCACUUUG